CUAGUCCAGGACAUCUCCUUGCAUCGCAAGUGUCGCUACUGGGCUGUAUACACUCACCCUCCCUAUGAUCGUUUGGACCAAACACACAACAGGACCUAUCUGCAUUGAGAUCAAUUAAGCUAAAUACAAUACCUCGUAUGAAAUUAAUCAUUAUACUUAGACGACAGAAGACCUAGAUGGCAGAUUCAAUAAUGGCUUUAAGAGUAAUAAUGAUCAUAUGUUAAACACACCACAUAACAAUUUUUAAAGAGAAUUCAUAAAAAAAAAAAAAUCUUGUUGGUACUACGGAAAAUAUUUAGCUUAUUGACUCCCUUUGAAAAGAAAUAUGUCAAAAAAUUGUUUUAACAAUUAGCUGACCGAAAUUGUCUUCUCUUUUUAAAGAUUAUAAAAAUUGUCUUUUAUAGAAACUGGCUAGUUAAAAAAAUGCAUACGUUCGGAUAGGAACACUUUUUAGGUUUAAACACAGAAUAAAUACAAAAAUCGUGGGUUGUUUGAUAAAACAAUUAAUAAAAUAAAUAUUGUUCAUGUGAAAAUAUUUUAAUCAUCAAGGCACAUUGUUCAAUGUCCCUCUAACUAAAUAUGCACAUAAAGAAAUGGCAAAAAAAUUCAAGAAAAAUGCAAAUGCUGGUGGAAGGGCUUGAACCUUCGACCUUGUGGUUUAAAAGCCACAUGCUCUAACCAACUGAGCUACACCAGCCAAAUUAGUAUUAAAUAAAAUAUGGUAAACAUUAAAAUAUUCUAAAUAAACAUGACAUUGUGGUUGUCUUCGAUCUGUUCACAUAUAAAAACCAAUCUCUGCCAACGUUAAUGAGAUGCUGUAAAAUUUCAGUUUGAGAUAAGACUCAAUUAUCAAAUUGAAAUAAAAUUAAAAAAACAAUCCACUUGAUAGCCUAAAUUGAUUAAGCAACAUUCUGGAUAAACUUUUAAAGUCAAGACAAAGAGACAACUCAAGCAACCUUAAAGGCGCCAUCAAGAACCCUCAAGGCAGCAAGCUUUGGUAUGACAUGAAAUGGAAACUCGGUUUUUUCCUAGUACUGGAAAUAACAUGGAAGAUCUCUCAAGUGUGGUUUAUUACAUGAUGCACAUACUACAAACUGAACACCCAUAAACAACUAACAGUGACAAUAUUGCCAUAUCUUGAGAGUCUAGACUAUGGUCGUGCUUGUUCACAUAGGCCAUAAGAGCAUGACUUGGCUGCAUAACUACAGUGGUACAGGGGUGGUCAAAGGGCCAUGGUCGUCUUGGUAAUAGUCUGAAGUUGCAAAUUUAUGUGGUUGUGGACCAAAAUCAAGGGAUGUCACUGACACAAUUCAAUUGAUAUUAAGAUUUUGUAUAAUCUUUAUAAGUGGUUUGAUAAAAAGUAUAAUAUAAUGUACUUUUAGAGUUAGGAGUCAAUGUAUAAUAAGUAAAUAGUCAAGUACUUUCAACACCAAGACUGUAGUGACAUAAAAAUUGUUCCUAUAGGGCUGUAGUGACAUGAACCUACUCUAGUUAUCCCCAAUAGCAACCUGGCUUUUGGGCGUUAAAAUUUCAUGGGCUUCUCACAAAUAAUGGUAAAAUUUGUUUUAGUAAAAAAGAGAGUAGUAUGAAUUUAGAACUGCAAGGCUGUAUAUGAACUGACCUAAAUCAAUAGCUACCUGGUCAAUGGCUUUCUUCUCAGUGACUUCAUUUCCAUAAGCAGUUUAUUUCAUGACCAACUAUACAUCUCCAUAUCAUAAAUCACCAUGUCAUAAAUUUUAGAAGCAUACGGUGGGAUCUUCUCAUAAAAAAAAAGGCAGAUAUUAGUUACAAAAUGCUGACGAUCUCCGAACGGUUUUGCAUAGGGUUGAUGCCAAUGCAAAUGUCUUUCCAUCGAGAUUAUGUUUUCUCCUUUAAUCCUGUGAUUAGUCGUACAGAUGUAAACGACAGUUCAUAGAUAUGAAGUACAUUGAUAAGAAUGAUAAAGGAGUGUUCAGUUCACAUACCAUGACCCAUCCCCAAGUAUCAGC
This 1988-nucleotide long non-coding RNA is filed under the name Aquilegia coerulea. RNAcentral describes it as "long non-coding RNA (ACOE_LNC001776)". Lineage: Eukaryota; Viridiplantae; Streptophyta; Magnoliopsida; Ranunculales; Ranunculaceae. The record is from RNAcentral.